This 253-nucleotide ribosomal RNA is filed under the name uncultured bacterium. Its description in RNAcentral is "partial 16S ribosomal RNA". It matches the Rfam family "Bacterial small subunit ribosomal RNA", at positions 524 to 776 of the family's 1533-position model. The record is from RNAcentral.
UACAGAGGUCCCAAGCGUUGUUCGGAUUCAUUGGGCGUAAAGGGUGCGUAGGCGGCGCGGUAAGUCGGGUGUGAAAUCUCGGGGCUUAACUCCGAAACUGCAUUCGAUACUGCCGUGCUUGAGGACUGGAGAGGAGACUGGAAUUUACGGUGUAGCGGUGAAAUGCGCAGAUAUCAGGAGGAACACCGGUGGCGAAGGCGGGUCUCUGGGCCGAAACUGACGCUGAGGAGCGAAAGCGUGGGGAGCGAACAGG